UGCCCCAUGGCUGAGUUGGUUACAGCGUCCGACUGUUACGUUAGCUACAUCGGAAGGUCGUGAGUUCGAGCCUCACUGGGGCAG
Imleria badia is the source of this 84-nucleotide non-coding RNA. The record is from the annotation of a GenBank genome assembly. NCBI's taxonomy places the organism in Eukaryota, Fungi, Basidiomycota, Agaricomycetes, Boletales, Boletaceae.